Molecule: microRNA precursor, 73 nt
Filed under: Mesitornis unicolor (brown roatelo)
Lineage: Eukaryota; Metazoa; Chordata; Aves; Mesitornithiformes; Mesitornithidae
Description: mir-205 microRNA precursor family
Rfam family: mir-205 microRNA precursor family
Source: Rfam by way of RNAcentral
UUCUGUUGUCCUUCAUUCCACCGGAGUCUGUCUCGUACCCACCAGAUUUCAGUGGAGUGAAGCACAAGAGACA